AGAGUUUGAUCCUGGCUCAGAAUGAACGUUGGCGGUGCGCCUAACACAUGCAAGUCGAGCGAGAAAGGUCUUCGGACUGAGUAGAGCGGCAGACGGGUGAGUAACGCGUGGGAAUCUGCCUUUCAGUGAGGAAUACCUCCGAGAAAUCGGAGUUAAUACUGCAUACGUCCCUUCGGGGAGAAAGAUGGCCUCUUUGCUGU
Molecule: ribosomal RNA, 200 nt
Filed under: uncultured bacterium
Lineage: Bacteria
Description: partial 16S ribosomal RNA
Rfam family: Bacterial small subunit ribosomal RNA
Source: RNAcentral